This 447-nucleotide long non-coding RNA is filed under the name Physcomitrium patens. RNAcentral describes it as "long non-coding RNA (PPAT_LNC002068)". The record is from RNAcentral. Lineage: Eukaryota; Viridiplantae; Streptophyta; Bryopsida; Funariales; Funariaceae.
AUUAGGGUUUGGUUUAGGGUUUGAUUUAGGGUUUGAUUUAGGGUUUGAUUUAGGGUUUAGGGUUUGAAAUAGGGUUUAAUUUAAGAUUUGUUUAGGAUUUGACUUAGGGUUUAGGAUUUAUUAGGGUUUAAGAUUUAAUUAGGUUUGGUCUAAAGUUUGAGUGAAAUUCAAUAGGGUUUUAACUAGAAUUAAAUUAAGGUUGAAUUGACAUAUAUUUGAGUAAUAUUUGUGAUCAUUCUAAUAUUUCUUUAAGAAUUUUAUUGUUUGUUUGAAAUUUCUUUGAGUUGUUUUGAAUUUGAUUACGUUUAUUUACCAUUAUUGUAGUCUAAUUAGAGCAUUGUUAGUAUUCUAUUAGAAUUAAGAUUUUGUUAUUGUAAUUCCUAUUCUUCUUUCUACAGCCAGGUGCCCGGAGCAUUCUCAAGCAAGACUUCACACAUUACGACACCG